Molecule: small nucleolar RNA, 68 nt
Filed under: Sorex araneus (European shrew)
Lineage: Eukaryota; Metazoa; Chordata; Mammalia; Eulipotyphla; Soricidae
Description: Small nucleolar RNA SNORD113/SNORD114 family (ENSSARG00000016050.1)
Rfam family: Small nucleolar RNA SNORD113/SNORD114 family
About the family: The imprinted human domain at 14q32 contains two clusters of tandemly repeated small nucleolar RNAs named 14q(I) and 14q(II) snoRNAs. These two clusters are named SNORD113 and SNORD114 respectively in the HGNC approved gene symbol nomenclature.
Source: RNAcentral
UGGACCAAUGAUGAUGACUGGUGGCGUAUGAGUCUUCUGCGAUGAAUACGUGGGAAUCUGAGGUCCAA